AGAGUUUGAUCAUGGCUCAGAACGAACGUUGGCGGCGUGGAUUAGGCAUGCAAGUCGAACGAGAAAGCUUCCUUCGGGAAGUGAGUAAAGUGGCGAACGGGAGAGUAACGCGUGGGAAACCUGCCCUCCAGUGGGGGACAACACUCCUAACGGGGUGCUAAUACCGCAUACGACCUGGGGAUCGCAUGGUCCUUGGGAGAAAGGUGGCCUCUGCUUGCAAGCUGCCGCUGGUGGAUGGUCCCGCGUCCCAUUAGCUAGUUGGUGGGGUAAUGGCUCACCAAGGCAACGAUGGGUAGCCGGCCUGAGAGGGUGUCCGGCCUCACUGGGACUGAGAUACGGCCCAGACUCCUACGGGAGGCAGCAGUCGAGAAGCUUCGGCAAUGGGCGAAAGCCUGACCGAGCGACGCCGCGUGAGCGAUGAAGGCCUUCGGGUUGUAAAGCUCUGUCAGGAGGGAAUAAAUACCGGCGGUUAAUACCCGCCGGGGCUGAAGGUACCUCCAGAGGAAGCACCGGCUAACUACGUGCCAGCAGCCGCGGUAAUACGUAGGGUGCGAACGUUGUUCGGAUUCACUGGGUAUAAAGGGUUCGUAGGCGGGCUGAUAAGUCAGAGGUGAAAGCCAACGGCUCAACCGUUGAAUUGCCUCUGAUACUGUCAGUCUUGAGUCCGCUAGGGGGUGGGGUGGGAUUUCCUGGGUGUAGCGGUGAAAUGCGUAAAUAUCAGGAGGAACACCAGUGGCGAAAGGCGGCCACCUGGGGGCGGUACUGACGCUGAGGAACGAAAGCUAGGGUAUCAAACGGGAUUAGAUA
RNAcentral lists this ribosomal RNA (807 nucleotides) under uncultured bacterium. Its description in RNAcentral is "bacterial SSU rRNA". It matches the Rfam family "Bacterial small subunit ribosomal RNA", at positions 8 to 784 of the family's 1533-position model. The record is from RNAcentral.